CCUACGGGUGGCAGCAGUGAGGAAUAUUGGUCAAUGGGCGCGAGCCUGAACCAGCCAAGUAGCGUGAAGGAAGACUGCCCUACGGGUUGUAAACUUCUUUUAUAAGGGAGUAAAGUGAGGCACGUGUGCCUCUUUGUCUGUACCUUAUUAAUAAGCAUCGGCUAACUCCGUGCCAGCAGCCGCGGUAAUCCGGAGGGUCCGAGCGUUGUCCGGAUUUAUUGGGUGUAAAGGGAGCGUAGGUGGGAUUUCAAGUCAUCUGUGAAAGUGUGGGGCUCAACCGUGUAAUUGCGAUUGAUACUGGAUGCCGGGAGUACAGGAGAGGUAGGCGGAAUUCGUGGUGUAGCGGUGAAAUGCGUAGAUAUCACGAAGAACUCCGAUUGCGAAGGCAGCUGACUGGACGGCAACUGACGGUGAGGCUCGAAAGCGUGGGGAUCAAACAGGAUUAGAUACCCUAGUAGUC
RNAcentral lists this ribosomal RNA (460 nucleotides) under uncultured bacterium. Its description in RNAcentral is "partial 16S ribosomal RNA". It matches the Rfam family "Bacterial small subunit ribosomal RNA", at positions 338 to 795 of the family's 1533-position model. The record is from RNAcentral.